GUAAGUGGAUAGGUAGAGAAGAUGGAAUCUAUUUUU
Molecule: small RNA, 36 nt
Filed under: Arabidopsis thaliana (thale cress)
Lineage: Eukaryota; Viridiplantae; Streptophyta; Magnoliopsida; Brassicales; Brassicaceae
Description: ATSL242070
Source: RNAcentral